AUUGAGCGCUGGCGGCGUGCUUAACACAUGCAAGUCGAUCGGUAACAGGUGUAGCAAUACAUGCUGACGAGAGGCGGACGGGUGAGUAAUGCUUGGGAAUCUGCCUAUUAGUGGGGGACAACCCGGGGAAACUCGGGCUAAUACCGCAUACGCUCUACGGAGGAAAGCCGGGGACCGCAAGGCCUGGCGCUAAUAGAUGAGCCCAAGUCGGAUUAGCUAGUUGGAGGGUAACGGCCUACCAAGGCGACAAUCCGUAGCUGGUCUGAGAGGACGACCAGCCACACCGGAACUGAGACACGGUCCGGACUCCUACGGGAGGCAGCAGUGGGGAAUAUUGGACAAUGGGGGCAACCCUGAUCCAGCGACGCCGCGUA
RNAcentral lists this ribosomal RNA (374 nucleotides) under uncultured bacterium. RNAcentral's name for it is "bacterial SSU rRNA". It matches the Rfam family "Bacterial small subunit ribosomal RNA", at positions 29 to 403 of the family's 1533-position model. The record is from RNAcentral.